This 449-nucleotide ribosomal RNA is filed under the name uncultured bacterium. RNAcentral's name for it is "partial 16S ribosomal RNA". It matches the Rfam family "Bacterial small subunit ribosomal RNA", at positions 29 to 523 of the family's 1533-position model. The record is from RNAcentral.
AACGGACGCUGGCGGCAUGCCUAACACAUGCAAGUCGAACGAGAUCUUCGGGUCUAGUGGCGCACGGGUGCGUAACGCGUGGGAAUCUGCCCUUUGGUUCGGAAUAACAGUUGGAAACGACUGCUAAUACCGGAUGAUGACGAAAGUCCAAAGAUUUAUCGCCAGAGGAUGAGCCCGCGUAGGAUUAGCUAGUUGGUGUGGUAAAGGCGCACCAAGGCGACGAUCCUUAGCUGGUCUGAGAGGAUGAUCAGCCACACUGGGACUGAGACACGGCCCAGACUCCUACGGGAGGCAGCAGUGGGGAAUAUUGGACAAUGGGCGAAAGCCUGAUCCAGCAAUGCCGCGUGAGUGAUGAAGGCCUUAGGGUUGUAAAGCUCUUUUACCCGGGAUGGUAAUGACAGUACCGGGAGAAUAAGCUCCGGCUAACUCCGUGCCAGCAGCCGCCGUAA